Molecule: small nuclear RNA, 107 nt
Filed under: Eurypyga helias (sunbittern)
Lineage: Eukaryota; Metazoa; Chordata; Aves; Eurypygiformes; Eurypygidae
Source: RNAcentral
GUAUUUGCUUCGGCAGCACAUAUACUAAAAUUGGAACAAUACAGAAAAGAUUAGUGUGGCCCCUGCGCAAAGAUGACAUGCAAAUUCAUGAAGCAUUCCAUAUUUUU